Molecule: ribosomal RNA, 373 nt
Filed under: uncultured bacterium
Lineage: Bacteria
Description: bacterial SSU rRNA
Rfam family: Bacterial small subunit ribosomal RNA
Source: RNAcentral
UAGUGAGUUUGAUCCUGGCUCAGAACGAACGCUGGCGGUCUGCUUAACACAUGCAAGUCGAACGCAAGUAGAAAUACUUGAGUGGCGGACGGGUGAGUAACGCGUGAGAAUCUGCCUUCUGGUCGGGGACAACCACUGGAAACGGUGGCUAAUGCCGGAUAUGCCUAUGGGUGAAAGAUUAAUUGCCAGAAGAAGAGCUCGCGUCUGAUUAGCUAGUUGGAGAGGUAAAGGCUCACCAAGGCAUCGAUCAGUAGCUGGUCUGAGAGGACGAUCAGCCACACUGGGACUGAGACACGGCCAGACUCCGUACGGAGCAGCAGUGGGGAAUUUCCGCAAUGGGCGAAAGCCUGACGGAGCAAGACCGCGUGAGGGG